This 72-nucleotide transfer RNA is filed under the name Stegodyphus mimosarum. It matches the Rfam family "tRNA". From Rfam's summary of the family: Transfer RNA (tRNA) molecules are approximately 80 nucleotides in length. Lineage: Eukaryota; Metazoa; Arthropoda; Arachnida; Araneae; Eresidae. The record is from Rfam by way of RNAcentral.
GCCUUCGUGGUGUAAUGGUCAGCACACUGAGCCGGUAUUUCAGAGGUCGUGGUUCGAUCUCCGGCGAAGGCA